RNAcentral lists this ribosomal RNA (243 nucleotides) under uncultured bacterium. RNAcentral describes it as "partial 16S ribosomal RNA". It matches the Rfam family "Bacterial small subunit ribosomal RNA", at positions 1258 to 1500 of the family's 1533-position model. The record is from RNAcentral.
CGAGGUGGAGCAAAUCUCAAAAAGACCGUCCCAGUUCGGAUCGCAGGCUGCAACCCGCCUGCGUGAAGUUGGAAUCGCUAGUAAUCGCGGAUCAGCAUGCCGCGGUGAAUACGUUCCCGGGCCUUGUACACACCGCCCGUCACACCAUGAGAGUCGGGAACACCCGAAGUCCGUAGCCUAACCGCAAGGGGGGCGCGGCCGAAGGUGGGUUCGAUAAUUGGGGUGAAGUCGUAACAAGGUACC